AGUGAACGCUGGCGGUAGGCCUAACACAUGCAAGUCGAACGGCAGCACAGUAAGAGCUUGCUCUUACGGGUGGCGAGUGGCGGACGGGUGAGGAAUACAUCGGAAUCUACUUUUUCGUGGGGGAUAACGUAGGGAAACUUACGCUAAUACCGCAUACGACCUACGGGUGAAAGCAGGGGAUCUUCGGACCUUGCGCGAUUGAAUGAGCGGAUGUCGGAUUAGCUAGUUGGCGGGGUAAAGGCCCACCAAGGCGACGAUCCGUAGCUGGUCUGAGAGGAUGAUCGGCCACACUGGAACUGAGACACGGUCCAGACUCCUACGGGAGGCAGCAGUGGGGAAUAUUGGACAAUGGGCGCAAGCCUGAUCCAGCCAUACCGCGUGGGUGAAGAAGGCCUUCGGGUUGUAAAGCCCUUUUGUUGGGAAAGAAAAGCAGCAGGUUAAUACCCCGCUGUUCUGACGGUACCCAAAGAAUAAGCACCGGCUAACUUCGUG
This 492-nucleotide ribosomal RNA is filed under the name uncultured bacterium. RNAcentral's name for it is "partial 16S ribosomal RNA". It matches the Rfam family "Bacterial small subunit ribosomal RNA", at positions 29 to 507 of the family's 1533-position model. The record is from RNAcentral.